Molecule: ribosomal RNA, 437 nt
Filed under: uncultured bacterium
Lineage: Bacteria
Description: partial 16S ribosomal RNA
Rfam family: Bacterial small subunit ribosomal RNA
Source: RNAcentral
GAUGAACGCUGGCGGCAUGCCUAACACAUGCAAGUCGAGCGGAAAGAGGAGUAUCUUGCUGCGCUCGCGUGAGCGACGCGCGAGUAAGUGCCACGGGGAUGAGCACAAUAUCUGGAAAGGGUUACUACUAGCACGUGGGCCUAGUAGCAGAAGAUGGAUUGAGCCGGAGGGGGGGCUAGUGUCUGAGUAGUUAGUUGGAGCGGAAAUAGCUUACCGAGGCGCUGGACCGAAGUUGGUACGAGAGGACGAUCGGCCACACUGGGACUGAGACACGGCCCAGGCUCCUACGGGAGGCAGCAGUGGGGAAUAUUCCGCAAUGGGCGAAAGCCUGACGGAGCAAUGCCGCUGGGAGGUAGAAGGCCCACGGGUCGUGAACUGCGUUUCUCGGAGAAGAAACAAUGACGGUAUCUGAGGAAUAAGCAUCGGCUAACUCUGUG